This 451-nucleotide ribosomal RNA is filed under the name uncultured bacterium. RNAcentral describes it as "partial 16S ribosomal RNA". It matches the Rfam family "Bacterial small subunit ribosomal RNA", at positions 330 to 793 of the family's 1533-position model. The record is from RNAcentral.
GCCAGACUCCUACGGGAGGCAGCAGUGGGGAAUAUUGGGCAAUGGGCGCAAGCCUGACCCAGCAACGCCGCGUGAAGGAAGAAGGCUUUCGGGUUGUAAACUUCUUUUCUCGGGGACGAAGAAAGUGACGGUACCUGAGGAAUAAGCCACGGCUAGCUACGUGCCAGCAGCCGCGGUAAUACGUAGGUGGCAAGCGUUAUCCGGAUUUAUUGGGUGUAAAGGGCGUGUAGGCGGGAGCGCAAGUCAGAUGUGAAAACUCAGGGCUCAACCCAUAACCUGCAUUUGAAACUGGAGUUCUUGAGUGAUGGAGAGGCAGGCGGAAUUCCGUGUGGAGCGGUGAAAUGCGUAGAUAUACGGAGGAACACCAGUGGCGAAGGCGGCCUGCUGGACAUUAACUGACGCUGAGGCGCGAAAGCGUGGGGAGCAAACAGGAUUAGAUACCCUGGUAUAG